CUACGAUCUUCAAUGUGCUGGGGAUUAAACGUGAAAUGGCAACUGCACAAAAUAACAUAAUUUCUUGAAAUGUUUCCUCUACUAUUAUUUAACUUCGCUGGUAUUGAUAACCGAACAUUUGGAUUGAAUUGUGAUUUCUUUCGAUGCAGCAGGUUUGUCUUAAUCGAGCCUUCUGCGAAUACGUCUGCAUUGGUUUUUGUAUUCUUGAAUUUAUUAAUUCAUUUUAUCUUUUCUUAAAUUCUUGGUCUUUACGUGCAAGACAAGCAAUGGAUGUGGAAACUUUAGAAGGAGAUCCUAUGAAGCUUUAGGUUUUAUUACCCUUACAUCUUCUGAUGCGUUUAUAUUUACAUUGACGGAUAUCCAUUUGAAUUUGAAUACAGUUCUUCAUUUGAUUACGUCUAGGUGUUGAACUGUUUAUGUGUAGGUGUUGAACUGUUUAUGUUCAUUCCUUUCUUGCUUGUCGAGAAUCUAAGAUUGGUGGAGGAUUAAAAUCCCGCAGUGUUUACAUCGACCAACGAUUCAGGAUUACCUGAGUUCUUUUGAGUUUUCUUCUAUUUUUGACUUUCGGGAUUUUAUAACCUAAUAUGAUCACUCCUAAUUGUUUUCUUGAAUUGUUCGGCCUUACUGGGAACACAAUCGUGACUGACUUGUGAGCUAGGAUGUGGAAACUUUAGCCAGGGAAUCUGUGAAGCUUUAGGUUUUGCUUUCUUUUCUAUUAUCAUUUAUUGUUUAUGAAUAUCAGACUCUAACAAUAAAAAGUCACCUUAAUUGUCAGAUUUGCUCUUCUUUCUCUUUGAAAUGUCCUCUUGUAUGAGACUUCAUUUGCUGGAUGAGCAUUUAUAAAUUUAAAUGCUUGAUUUUUGCUCAAUCUUAAUCCCUUGCUGAUUUUAAACAGAACUGCUUUCAGAAUAAGAAUUGUUUGAGCGCUAUCAUCUACAUUGAAACGACAACUGCUCAAGAUAACUUUAAUUUCUUCUACUAUUUAACUUCGCUGGACUUGAUCAACGAACAUUAGGAUUGAAUUGUGAUUUGUUUCUCUGCAGAAGUGUUUAUAUUAGAUUCGUGCAGUGUACCUGCAUCUUAUAUAGUCUCUCGGAUCCUGUGGAGCUUUAGGUUUUGUUACCCACACAUUUCCUAAUGUGUUUUAUUUCUGGCAUUUGAUCACCUGACAUAAGGAUUUAACUGCCAUUUGUUUCUUCAGAGGUGUUUCGGUAUCUUUCGUUUCUACAUUUCGUUGGUCUAGCAUCAGUAUAUUUCUCCAGUAGUUCUGCUUGGCCUAGCAUCAAUAUUUCACCAAUAGUUCUGCUUGAUUUGGGUCGCUCUCAUUGAACUGAAGUCCAUCAAAUAUAAAAUGUUAGACAUUGAGUUCAAAUUAAGAUUAGCAUAUCAUGGAGCAUGUUAUGAGCGAUCUUGUCUGCCUUGUUUUUUUAAUUCUUAAAUUUAUAUAAUUUGUUCUAAACUUAGUCCUCUAUUACCAGUUAUAGUUUUCUUGAAUUCUUGUUCUUUGUAGAGAUGUGUGGGAUAGGAUGUGCAAAACAGUGGCAGGAGAUUCCUUUAACAAUGAAACAUUAGUAGUUCUUUUUACUCUUACAUUACUUUUUUUUUCUGUUGCAUUAAUUCUUGAUUGGAUGAACUUCUCGGUUUUAUUUUUAUUUUUUUCUUCUUAGGCAUAACCAAAUUUAUAAUGGAAGACCAAAGAAUAUCCAAUUUUAGCAGAUGAUCAUGACCACUGGAUGACAUUUGUUCUUGUAUCAGUUUGCUCUAUGGUGAUCUUUAGGGUAUCAAUAAAUUGAAAAGGGUAACAAGUAUAGGUAAAUUUAAGAUUGUUUUUAUUACGCAUUUUGUUGGUUUCUUUAAGGUUUUUGUGAACCUUUUUUUCUUGCAGUGUUCGUUCGACUAGUUUUGGGUCUGUACUCUAUUUUAGAAUGGAUUUUGGUGAUCUUUAGGGUAUGAAUACUUGUUAACGGUAACAAGUAUAGGUAAAUAUAAGAUUUUUUUUAUUAUGCAUUUGUUGGUUUCUUCUUGACAAUUUUGUGAACCAUUUUUUCUUGCAGUGUUCGUUCGACUAGUUUUGGGUCGGUAUUCUAUUUUAGAAUGGAUUUUGGUGAUCUUUAGGUAUGAAUAAAUUGAAAAGGGUAACAAAUGUAGGUAAAUUAACGAUUUUUUUUUAUUACGCAUAUUGUUGGUUUCUUGACGAUUUUGUGAACCUUUUUUUCUUGCAGUGUUCGGUCGACUAGUUUUGGGUCAGUAUUCUAUUUUAGACUGGAUUUUGUAUGCUCAAAUUUGCUUUCUGUUUCCACUUUUCCUCGGUCUAGUAUGUUCUUCCCUCCCCUUCAGUGAGUGUGUGGUUGGUUGUUGAUGCAGUAGGUGUCUUCUUACAUGAUUUGGUGAUCUCCACUAUUUAUCCUGAAUCUUGGAUUUUAAUUUGUACUACACACUGACCUCUAUCUUAUUGCUGGUUAUAUUUCUCAAUUUUAAUCCCUUGAUGAUUUGUUCAGUCUCAAAAAAAGCUCUAUAUUAGGUAAAUUUUAUGCCCGGUUCUAUUGUGUGAUCAUUCUGAACUUUUUCUUCUGUGAGUUUUGUUUUUUCCUUAUAUCCGUAUCAGGAAUGGUUCCAAUCUUCUGUGGAGUGGAGUAGUUUGAGCAACAAUAUUAGUUUGCAAUUGGAGGAUUACUCUCGGUACUUUUUAAUAUGAUCUAUACUAGUAUUUCCAAUUUAAUUGGAUAUCUUUUUUCUUAACAGUGCUUUUGGAAUAUAUGUUUGAGUACUACGAUCUACAUGAAGCUGGGUAUUAACAAUCAUUUCUGGAAUAUAUAGCAUAAUUUCUUCUAACUACUAUCAGUUGCCUGCUCAAGAUAAACUAAUUUCCUCUACUAUUAUUUAACUUCGCUGGAGUUGGUAACCGAACAUUUGGAUUGAAUUGUGUUUUCUUUCGCUGCAGCAGUUUUGUAUUAAUUUUGUGUACUGGGUGUGGAAAUUUUAGAAGACAAGUUCCGAGAGUUAUUGGCGUGGAAACUUUAGCAGGAGACCCUCUGAGCUCUAGGUUUUGUUACCAUUACAUUUUCUGAUGCGUUUUUUUUUUGCAAGGAUAUCUAUUUUGAAUUUGCGCGUCGAAAUAAGAUUGUUCGAGUAUUAAAAUCCUAAAUUUGUUUUUUUGGGAUUUGAUCACCUAACAUACAUGAUCACUGAAUUGUCAUUUGUUCCACCAUUUAUCUCAUCGAGCAUGCUGAAAGAUGACAUCUCCUUUUGAUGCUGUUUCCUUUUUGUUUUGAAGUUGUCUUAUUGUUUCUAUUCUUAGUCUUUUGAUUAGUGAAAUCUAUCAAAUCUAGCUGUUUGAUCUGUGAUUAUGUUCAUUCCUUUUCAGGUUAAAAAAUAAUUCUAAUGUUGAGGGGUAAUAUAAUUUUUUGGAUGAGUUUCCUUUCUGUCAUUUAAUAUCUUUGGACUGGAUCAUCAAAUAUAAGGAUUCAAUUGUGAUUUGUUUUCCGCAGCAAUGUUUGGUGGAUUUGUUUCGUGUAACAUUCCUCUCAUCGAGGAAAUCUUACAAGUGAAGACAUCUCCCUCUGAUUUUUCUACUUUGUAGUUUUCUUCAAUUUUUGGGCCUUACGGGGAAGACAACCAACUGAUAUGUGAGCUAGGAUGUGGAAGCCAGGGGAUCUGUGAUGCUUUAGGUUUUGUUACCCUUGCUUUUCUUAUGUCUUAAUCUUUGACUAGUUAAACUUAUGAUGCUUUAAUUUAAAGUCUUGUGUGAUUUAAUUUUGUAAAAGGGAAAGAGAAGAUAUGAGGGAAACAAAAUAUCAUGGCCAUUACAGUUUUGUCUCGAAGCUAUUUUUAAUUUAGACCUGCCGUUUCUCGAAGCUAUUUUUCUCAUCGCAAAAUUUAAUCCUCUUACUUUGCUUUCUUUUGUAUUUUCAUUUAUUGUUUAUGAAUAUCAGACUAUAACAAUAGUAAGUCACCUUAAUUGUCAGAUUUGCCUCUCUGAAUUGCUCAAUCGUAAUCCCUUGCUGUUUUUAAACAGCACUGUUUUGGAAUAGGAUUUGUUUGAGCGUGUUAUCAUCUACAUGAAGCUGGAACGUGAAACGGCAACUGCUCAAGAUAACCUUCUACGAGUUCGCCGGACUUGAUCAUCUAACAUUAGGAUUGUAUUCCUCUCUAUUAUUAUGUUUCUCUGCACUCGAUCACCGAACAUAAAGUUAUAAAUAAUUUGCGCCUAUUAACAUUUAUUUGUUUUUAUUUCUUUUACCCUUUUGGGAUCUUUUUUUUUGUACUACAGUGAUCCUCCUUUAAAUUGACAUAAAAUGGUGGUUGAAUAUAGAAAGAAAAACUCUUGCUAUGGAUAGGUCUGCAUCUUUGGAAGGUUAAAUUUCUUAUGCCGUAUUCCAAAUUCUAUUAAAAUUUCUCUCAAUG
Molecule: long non-coding RNA, 4404 nt
Filed under: Phaseolus vulgaris (common bean)
Lineage: Eukaryota; Viridiplantae; Streptophyta; Magnoliopsida; Fabales; Fabaceae
Description: long non-coding RNA (PVUL_LNC004802)
Source: RNAcentral